UCGAACAGGCGCGCAUGCAUUCACUAAGGCACUAAGAACCACUGCACCACUUUUGUUUGUUGUGAUAAAAUAUUGAUUCAUAUUGAUUAUAUAUUAAUUCAAAAUACCAUAUUGAUUUUCCAUUCACAUUUGAACUUGUAUUGUCUUUUUUUUUUUUUGCAUAAUUUGUAUUUUCGUCAUUUUUUUUGAAUAACUUGUAUUUUGUCGUUCUUAAAAAUAAAAAAAA
RNAcentral lists this long non-coding RNA (226 nucleotides) under Medicago truncatula (barrel medic). Its description in RNAcentral is "long non-coding RNA (MTRU_LNC004270)". Lineage: Eukaryota; Viridiplantae; Streptophyta; Magnoliopsida; Fabales; Fabaceae. The record is from RNAcentral.